Molecule: ribosomal RNA, 497 nt
Filed under: uncultured bacterium
Lineage: Bacteria
Description: bacterial SSU rRNA
Rfam family: Bacterial small subunit ribosomal RNA
Source: RNAcentral
AUUGAACGCUGGCGGCAUGCUUUACACAUGCAAGUCGAACGGUAACAGGCCUUCGGGCGCUGACGAGUGGCGAACGGGUGAGUAAUGCAUCGGAACGUGCCCAGAGGUGGGGGAUAACGCAGCGAAAGCUGUGCUAAUACCGCAUAUUAUCUGAGGAUGAAAGCGGGGGACUAAGCAGCAAUGUUUGGCCUCGCGCCUUUGGAGCGGCCGAUGUCAGAUUAGGUAGUUGGUGGGGUAAAGGCCUACCAAGCCGACGAUCUGUAGCUGGUCUGAGAGGACGACCAGCCACACUGGGACUGAGACACGGCCCAGACUCCUACGGGAGGCAGCAGUGGGGAAUUUUGGACAAUGGGCGCAAGCCUGAUCCAGCAAUGCCGCGUGCAGGAAGAAGGCCUUCGGUUGUAAACUGCUUUGUACGGAACGAAAAAGGGCUACUGGUUUAAGUAACCUGGGGCGUCAUGACGGUACCGUAAGAAUAAGCACCGGCUAACUACGUG